GACCUAUUAGAACUAGUGUACAAGCUUAACAGAGUCACAGUGUCCAACAUGAACACUAAAAGCUGCUGUUUUUGUUUUACAGGGCUGUGGAGGAAACCUGGGGCCUGACACUGAAAAAGAGCAUGUUUAAAGUGCUGCAACAAUGGAUACCCAGCAGAGAGACACGAAUCACUGAGGUGGCUGCUGGGACAGUAAGCUGGACUGCGACAAGAUCACAUGAAGUUGUAGCACAAACACUGGUAACAAAGCCUGGAACCUACCUCCCCCCUCAGCUGGUGUGGAGAGGCUCUGGUCACUUAGACUUUCCGCCAACAUCCAAGCUGGGAGGAUUCUUUUCCUCUGGGUAGGACGUGGCUGGUGCUCACUGAAAGCUCUGCAUUCACCUGAAGAGGACUAAUAGAACCAUAAAUUAUUUCCUAAAGGAAUACAAAGGUAAAAGACAGCAAACACUGGAGCAAACACCACGAGGCUUAAGUUUCCUAAGCCAAGUGUUUUCCAGAAAGACAAAUGACGUGACUACUGCAGCCCAAGUAUGACUCAACCCUAGAGUGAUUUCCCUGAAGCAUCUGUGAAGGUGGAGGAAUCAGAUACAAACACCAUCCAGGCAAUCUUACCUCAG
Molecule: long non-coding RNA, 619 nt
Organism: Mus musculus (house mouse)
Lineage: Eukaryota; Metazoa; Chordata; Mammalia; Rodentia; Muridae
Product: predicted gene, 44097
Exons: 3
Source: RefSeq, a predicted model, not a curated record